This 3919-nucleotide long non-coding RNA is filed under the name Cairina moschata (Muscovy duck). Its description in RNAcentral is "domestica (muscovy Duck (domestic type)) lncRNA (ENSCMMG00000001183.1)". Lineage: Eukaryota; Metazoa; Chordata; Aves; Anseriformes; Anatidae. The record is from RNAcentral.
AUGCUCCUGGGGCUGAGCCCCCACCUCAGCGCCCUCCUUCCCGGGCAGCAGCUGCCUGGCAGCGUGGUGUCAGGGUUUAUCAGCUUUCAUGGGCACGGCAAGCCUCCAAAGUCGACCGUGUGCCUGCUUCCUGCCCUCUCAUCCACCCUGCCACCCUGUGUCCUUGCUGGCUGUGUGCACAGAGCUCCCAACGCGCUCAACACCCCAGGUAUGCACGGAAGGAGGAGAAGGAAGAUGUUUCUUUUUAUUGAUUGCGAUUUGAAAGAGCUAAACGACAACUAGUAGGACUUCAGAUUAGUAGGAACUCAGACCUCAGAGUGACUUUUCUGGAAGAAUCCUUGGACCAGACGUGACUCCCCAAUAUACGAGGCAAGCCCUAAAGCAGCAGUGCCACGAUCCCAAGUUCUUUUUCCUUUGUAGGUCACUCCUGAGCGUCGCCUGAGCUCUUUGCACACCCCGCCUGGUGACAAACAACCUGGAAAUGCCACGUUGGUGGCGUGCUGUCCCUAACGGGUCUCCUCCAUCCCUGGCUCCUGUAAGGGUCUCCCUGGGGACUCGUUACCUUAAAGCUUGCAGUGCUGCCAGCAGUAACCACCAGCAGGUACCCCACAGGCUCUGGCACCGAGGAUUUGCCUCUGCCCCCUAUUAAUCAAUGUCAUUAGCAGUGCCUGGCGCUGGACGCACCAACCUCCAGCACAGGAGGCUCCAGCAGCAGCAGAACCAAGUGAACGACCAUCAGGAAUCGGAUGGACGACCUUGAAAUCUCGCCGGGAACUGCUGGCAGAUGAAAGGCGCUGGAGCUCCGAGAUGAGCGCUAUCGAUCCCAUCUCGCAGACGAAUGCCCGGCCUGGAAUAAGCGCCAGGCAGCGGCUCAGGGCUUCCAGACAAAGAAUAUUGAUCAGGUCGACUCAAUUAGCUGCUGAAGGCUUCACAUUUGGGCCCCCGUCGUUAGCGGCAAUUUCACGGAUAGAAACUUCACAAGUUCCCAUCUUUUAACUCAAUUAUGUCUCUCUUUGCUCUUAGCCACCGCUGAUUCAGUUGCUGGUUCAGAAGGAUGCUCGUCUUUGCUUGUCUCUGUAACAAAAAAAAGGAUCCAGCUUCUCUUUUUAGGAACUCCUUAUUUUUCUGUAGCAGCAUAAAAGCUUUCUCCCUGUCUCAUGGGAUAUUAAAACAUUGAUGUUUAUCAAAAUUAAGGCAGAUGAACGCUUCCACUUAUUGCCUUGUGCAGCAAAACGCUUCUCUCCGUAGGAAAAAGCACCCCACAGACUGUGUUUUUUGGGUCUAAUGGUUUAGGGAAUGGGUUAGGGAGGCAGCUGGUGAGAAAGCCCAGAGCAGGAGCCACCAGACAUCCCUCAGACCAGAUUUUUCUGCAGCUGGUGUAGCUGAGGAGAAACCUGGGAGCAAGUCAGAGAGCCCCAAGCUUAACCAGCUCGGAAGAGCUUCCAGGAUUGAUGUUCAGCAUCGGGAAAAACGAGGUUUUUUGGUUAGUCACUAAGGUGCUCCUCUGCUCCCCAUCGCCUUCUGGUCACUCUGUGUAAUCCAUGCAGGCUGAGAUAUCUUGCCAAAAAAGCUCUUUCUCAGCUCCUGAACCAGAGUUUUUCCUCAUUUCCCGUAACAGAACCUUAAGUGCCUCCAGCAGAAGCUCCCUCUGCUCCACCAGAGCCCUGCACGAGGGAAAAAGUCCUUUCCCUCUCUCCUUCCCCACCUUUAUCCCUCCAGGGAUAACCUUAACACCUUUUUUUUCCUUGUCCCAGCAGCAUACCAGAAAUAUUUUGGCUUAAAGGCUGCUGCCUGCCACUGCGCCGCUGACUAACGCUGCCCUGGACGUGUUUGCAUCUUGAAAUUUUUCCCCGCUCUGUUUGGGGGAGAAACAUCUUAGAGGUGAAGCAUGUUAAGAAACUCCAUCCAAACGUUGGCUGAAGCAGGUAUUGAAAUGUGAACAAGCCAAGCUGCACCCCGUUUCCCUCCUCUCUUUGUGAAACGGGUGAAGGUAGGAGAAGAAGCUCAAGGAACUCGUAGACACCCUUUCUAGACCCCUCAUUUUCUAGACCCUUUAUUUUCUAGAUUUUUUUUCCUAGAUUUUUUUUUUAAUUAUUAUUAUUUUCUAGAUUUUAUUUUCUAGAUUUUUUUUUUUCUAGACCAGGCUCCCUUCAAGACGUCUCAGUGUGUGGUGGGAAGGCACACGAUCUGCUGCAAGACUUCAAAAUGAAAAAAGUGAUUUCCCAAAGCAAAUCCUUCCAUGGGUUUGAUUGCAGAUAAUCCAAUUUAUCUGGCCGCCUCGGUGGCCAGGUGAGGGAGAGCCACCUUGUUUGGUGCUGCAAAGCCAGCGCUAGGAUUUAGGAAGUGCUGCGGUGGGAAGGUGUGGGAUUUCCUCAUCCUUUUCCUUCCAGGUUCUUGUUCUUGCUGGAUUUGGGGUGAAACCUUGCAGCCCGUGGCUGUUUGUCCUGCAGCAGCUUGUGCUGUUGAUCAUCUCAGGGCAAAAUUGAGCUCUGGCUUCAGGAAUCCUGCCUGCCUGAGACACGGUGCUCCCAAAAACCUCGUCGAAGGGCGUUUGCUCUGUUUGCAGAGGCAGCUUUUCAACGUUGUGGGAAACGUGGUCGUGCCUGUGGAGCUGAACAAGCUGCGAAUUCCCAGAGGAAUUCAAGUUCUGACUUGGGAGCCUUUUCUGAAAGGUUUUCUGCUGGCUUCCUGCUGGUUUAGCUCCCCUACAGCUGACAGCAGAUUGCAGGUGGAUUAAAAUGCUGCUCAAGGGUGAUCAUUUCUGAAGGUUUUGCAUGAGGAUUUCUUUUUUUUUUUUUAACAACUUUGGCUUAAAUUUGGCUUAAAUUCUCUUACUCUUGAUGGUCCCUGCCACCCUUCCUGACAACAUACAUCCCUGUAGGGGGACUGUACAAGACAACGCAUCCUUUAAUCUGUAUGUGUGAUGUUGGCUGGCCAGCACAACCCACCCAGCUCCCCCUGCUCCUCUUAAGUGCCUGGGAGCUGCCAAAUCCCAGCUGCAAGGAGGCCAGAAGACAACGGGAAGGAUUUGUGCUUGAGGAAAUUCGUGUCCUAAAUGAUCUACGUGCAAUUAAGGGGCUUUAAAGACAUUGAAUUGAGGCAGCUUCGGGUGUUUGGUUCCUGAACAUCUCUGGGUGAAGGUGGGACGGGGUAUGGGGAUGUCUGUUGGGUGUGAGUGAGGCUUUCUCCCAGCUGAGCUGGGAGAAAAAGCAUGAAAAAUAACUGUGUGAUGGUGGUUGCUCCGAAAUGAACCUCUGGUUUCUUGGUUUUUAAGAAAAAUGGGAUUACGAGGGGGUCUGAUAGCUGGCUGGAAGUGUUUUUAACUAUAUAUAUGUGUGUGUGAUGUAUGUAUCUGCAUAUAUACAUAUAUAUAUAUGCACCGGUGUACACAUAAACACUCAGCUGAUGCAGAUCCUGGUUAUGAAAUGAGAACCUGAUGGUACAACACACCUGAGAUUUAACCUGGCCGAGCAGAUUUGCAAUUAGAGGAGCUGCAGCACCUCAAAUGGCUGCACAGAGCGGGCUUUGCCUGUUGUUUUUUGGCUGCUGGCUUCCUAAAUCUGCAAACCUGGCCUGGCACCACGUGGAUUUACCAGCCGCAGGGGUGGAAGGGGUGGAUAAUGGGGUUUUAACAGCAGAUCAACCUGCUUGUGCAAAAAGGAGUUGUGGACAUCUCGUUAAAGGCAGGGUGAAGGUAAUGGAGCGGUGAGGAUUGUGUUGCAAGAGCCAACCCUUUCCAGAAAAACAUGCACAUUAAUGAAUUUGCAUUGUAAAGCCAAAUAACUACUAUUUUCUCUACAGAGGGUUUAAUUGCACCAUGCAGAUCUGCAGGACUCUGGGUAAAACUCAGCCCGAAACCAUUUUAAAGUCACUCGUUUAAAACUUUUGCUGAAAUAGCUCCUUGAAUCUGUGUUUUCUU